CUGGAAAAAUUGACGAACGCGGUGGGAUGGUUGGAAAGGAGUCAAGCCCACUCGUCCCCACCAGAUACCGAGGUGGAAUCCCCCGUAAGGACACAGGCAAGGCGUCCCCCCACCAGGAGGACUCUCUACUUUUUAAGGGGAGAAUCCUCCAGAAGCCGAACUGAAGAGGUCAGAAGUAAGGAACCUGAGGCGAGGAGGACUGCAAACGUGUUCGACAGAUUGGGGACCCAACAAUCACUGACUCCUACGCAAGGACAAGCUGACCUGAAACGUCCGUUGGAACAAGCAGAACCCGAACUAAGCGCACUUAAAAAACGCAUCACCGACCUGGAGGCUAAAAACAAAGGUGACACUGAAGAUUACCAAACCAAACGACAUUCCCCCUUCACUGAGGAUGUCUUUAUGGAACCACUGCCUGAAAAAUUGAAAAUUCCCCAGAUCGCCGCAUACGAAGGGGAUGGUGAUCCCCUCAGCCACCUUAACAAAUACACCUCCUGGAUGGAACUACAGGGGGCAAGCAAUGCAAUCAUGUGCCGAGCAUUCCCCCUGAUUCUAGGAGACAAAGCUCAAAGAUGGUUUAGGAGACUGCACGAGAGGUCGG
Molecule: long non-coding RNA, 601 nt
Filed under: Olea europaea subsp. europaea
Lineage: Eukaryota; Viridiplantae; Streptophyta; Magnoliopsida; Lamiales; Oleaceae
Source: RNAcentral